This 61-nucleotide ribosomal RNA is filed under the name Phytophthora drechsleri. RNAcentral describes it as "28S ribosomal RNA". The record is from RNAcentral. Lineage: Eukaryota; Oomycota; Peronosporomycetes; Peronosporales; Peronosporaceae.
GUCGAUCCAUUUGGGAAACGUUGUGUGCGCUUCGGCGUGCAUCUCAAUUGGACCUGAUAUC